AGGAAAUUAAUUACAUUAUGUUCGUACAGUGAGAAAGUACAAUAAAAAAAUGUAGUGUUUAUUUCUGUACAUAAUAUAAUAUUCUACAUAUCGUAAUGAGUUGAUAACAAUAUAUUUUUUAUUAUCCCACCGAAAACAAAUUAAAGAAAUUAAGAAGCAUAUCUCUUUAUGUUUUUGUCCUAUCUCUAUUUUAUCUAUUACCAAAU
RNAcentral lists this long non-coding RNA (206 nucleotides) under Ananas comosus (pineapple). RNAcentral's name for it is "long non-coding RNA (ACOM_LNC005099)". Lineage: Eukaryota; Viridiplantae; Streptophyta; Magnoliopsida; Poales; Bromeliaceae. The record is from RNAcentral.